UGCAGUCGUACGCUUCUUUUUCCCCGGAGCUUGCUCCACCGGAAAAAGAGGAGUGGCGAACGGGUGAGUAACACGUGGGUAACCUGCCCAUCAGAAGGGGAUAACACUUGGAAACAGGUGCUAAUACCGUAUAACAAUCGAAACCGCAUGGUUUUGAUUUGAAAGGCGCUUUCGGGUGUCGCUGAUGGAUGGACCCGCGGUGCAUUAGCUAGUUGGUGAGGUAACGGCUCACCAAGGCCACGAUGCAUAGCCGACCUGAGAGGGUGAUCGGCCACAUUGGGACUGAGACACGGCCCAAACUCCUACGGGAGGCAGCAGUAGGGAAUCUUCGGCAAUGGACGAAAGUCUGACCGAGCAACGCCGCGUGAGUGAAGAAGGUUUUCGGAUCGUAAAACUCUGUUGUUAGAGAAGAACAAGGAUGAGAGUAACUGUUCAUCCCUUGACGGUAUCUAACCAGAAAGCCACGGCUAACUACGUGCCAGCAGCCGCGGUAAUACGUAGGUGGCAAGCGUUGUCCGGAUUUAUUGGGCGUAAAGCGAGCGCAGGCGGUUUCUUAAGUCUGAUGUGAAAGCCCCCGGCUCAACCGGGGAGGGUCAUUGGAAACUGGGAGACUUGAGUGCAGAAGAGGAGAGUGGAAUUCCAUGUGUAGCGGUGAAAUGCGUAGAUAUAUGGAGGAACACCAGUGGCGAAGGCGGCUCUCUGGUCUGUAACUGACGCUG
RNAcentral lists this ribosomal RNA (719 nucleotides) under uncultured bacterium. RNAcentral describes it as "bacterial SSU rRNA". It matches the Rfam family "Bacterial small subunit ribosomal RNA", at positions 56 to 748 of the family's 1533-position model. The record is from RNAcentral.